GUUUGUUCCAGAGAGUCGGCCCAUAAUAAGUGAACGCACCUUCGCCAAAUUCACUUCUGAUCUUUGGUUCAGUUGGGAGACCGGUGUCUGACGAUUUGAAAGUUCUGAAGGUGAUGUUGUCCAGGUGAGUACUCUGGCUGCAGGAUUUCCCCACACUCGAAAAGACAAUCAGGAACACCUGAGCAAGCCUCAUCAGCUGAUGAAAGCUGCUGGGAAAAUAACAGUCCUAGAGUGAGUGUUUGACAACGUGAACAGCUUCAAUGACAUUGUGGCGUCUGGUUUGGUCCGGUGGGGCCGCGGCAGCCGGGGCCUGGUGCACGGUGAGCAGAUUGUGUCGUCCGUCGAGGGUGUCGCCGCUGACCGUCAUGGCGUCCAGGUGCUGACGAAGCAGGAGCCUCAGCUGCUGGUUUUCACGGCUCAAAUCGGCCUUCUGUUUCUUCAGAGCUUCCCGCUGCAGCACGGCAGCGUUAAUGCACCACGUCACCUGCCGCAACUCGGGUAUCUCCUACAGAUGGACACAAAGAGUGCAAGGUUGUGGCUCGUUCCUGAAAGCAGUCCAAAGUACCAGUCCAGACCUGCUAGAUGCUGAACUAGAAAGUCCAAGAAGAAAAGGUCCUGCUCUCUCCUGUCUGACGUCCUCUGCAGGGAAUACUGAUGAUAAGACUUGCUUCUCCUCGCUCUCCAGCUUGCGACACAUUUCGGCGACACGUAAAACCUUCUCACCCUGCAUCACCACAGUGAAAAUGAGUACAGAGAGGACACACAGGAGGAAAUACACAGUGGACAGACUGCAUGUGAGACGUUUCACCUUGGAGAUAACUGCCUGCAGUUUCUUGGCGGCCUUGUCGCUCUGGACGGUGAGGUCAGUCAGCUGUUUUCUGGCCGCUGUAUGAGCCUGAGUCAGCUGGUCCCGGAGCAUAUGAGUCUUCCUGUUUACCUUGUUUCUGGCAGCGUUCAGAUCUUGUUCCACCGACUGGUUUUCAAUCUUACUGUAGUUCAUCUUCGCCCUCAGCUGAAUGGCAAUAUCCUGAGAGAGAAAGGAAACAAGAUGGAGGCUUUGACUUAACCCUUUGAUGCUACGUUACACCAGGCUUUACGCCUCCUCGACUUGUCUCUGUUCUCUAACUUCUCAUCUGACUCUGGGGAAGAUUGGGGAUUUUAAGGAUUUCCCAGAAAUCCUUCAUGACAGCUAUCGGCUCCAUGAACAUCAGCUCUCUGAGCAUCUGAAACUGGACGGAAAACUCGUCUGUCUUUGGAAAUGGAUUAUAAAUUAGACAAACUUUCAUAAAACUGCUUCAUGAUGCAUUCGUUGGAAACACAAUUUAUUUUUUAUUUUUUUAAAGCUGGAAUCAGUUUCUUUGAAACGGUAUAAAGUGAAUUUGUUUUGUCCACUAGAGGGCAGCGUAACGAGCUGUAAACACUCUCAUACUGUAUUAUCAGCUUAUAAAAAGUUAACGUGUUAGCAACCAGCUGCCUGCUACCACAUCUAUCAGUUAUGCAGCAACAUGGUCAUCCAUCAGGAGACGUGUUUGUGUAACCUGAUGAUGAAUGUCCACUAUGUUCAGUGUCAUGUAGUAAUUGAGUUAGAAAUAUUGAUCUUGGUUCUCGCUUUAAAGGUAACCUAAUAUGCUGCAUUACCAGCCCUGUAAAGUAGCUUCGCAUGAUUCAAAGUUCAAAAAUCUUACACUGGCCCUUAACACAGAUAUGACCAUUCUGCCCCAUGGGACCUUUUAUUUCGGGGAAAAAUAGGUACAAUAGUCAACGGCAAGAGACAAAUUAUCUUGUUAGAAUUGUGCCCUGAAUUACACAAAUGAUGUUGGUCAAUUUUUAAUAUAAUUUAAGUCAAAGUUGUUGUUCAUAAAAACUAUACAGUAACAUUUUAGCUUUGGUCUGAAAACCGUCGGCAACAUGUUGGCGCGGUAAUGCUAGCUAACGCUCAUUGCUUGGUUGCUACUAGCUAGAUAACUUGUUCCAAGCAGAAAUAUCUCACCUGAUGAUGACAUGAUUCUGUCUUUUUAUCACAUCAUCUACACAUGGAAGCUUUUUGACGUUCGCUUCAGUAACGUUUCAGUCAUUGAGAGAAAAAGUUACGUGACUUUUGGGUUUGUGGACUUGGUAAUUAUGUAUUUUCAGUCUUAUACCUCAACAGUUUUACAUCAAACUGCGACUUAAUUGACUUUCAAAUGUAUAUUUUAAAUAGACAUUUGUGUAAUUCAGGGCACAACUCAAACGGGAUCAAAACAUUUGGAGUCUUUUGCUAUUGACUACUGUAAAUACUCUUUCCAAAGUAAGGUCCCAUGGUGGUCCACAGGAAGGGGAGGGACUUAAGCUCUCUAUGACACCAAACAGAGCCGUGAGUAGUAGAAAAAAACUGUUGAAACCAGAGCGUUCACAACAAGGGAAAAUCUGAAGUUUGAGAUUUCUUUUAAAUACGUUUACCUCAUUAUUUGAAGCUUUGGCCACUUUGGUAAACAUGCAACAUUUGUAACAUUAUAAAUAUGACAGGAAAAAGCAUAACAAGUCACCUUUAAGUAUUACAUCUGUCUUUUCUAGCUUUUUGGAACUUCUGCGUACAUCAAGGUCAAGAACAAACUUUCAUGGUUAAAAUUGACCAAGUAUGAGUGAACAGCUUGUGUCAUAAAAUACACUAGACUGCUGCUGUUCUCUUUUUCUGGAUGCAAAAGGAAAGAAACUAGCGAGCCGUGCUGAACAGAUACCAGACACCAAACUGGUGGAUAAAGGUAUGACUGUUUUUUGACUUAUCAAAAAUGCACCUGCCGUAAAUUUGUCGCUCUGUGAGUAAUCCCAGGUGCUACAACAAUUGUUUCCUCUACAGACAUUUAUCUUGGACACUUACAUUUCCAUGAAUGGCCCGAAAUAUUCCUGCAAUCUGAAAACACUUUUAUGAAUCGGAUUAUUUUGUGGUCGCAGCAAGAGCUCUUAGGAGGAAUUUGCUUUAAAAACAAAAUGAAAUCACAUGAUCAGAUUAAAUCGCCUCCAUGAAAUAAACUUCCACUGACCUGCAGCCUCUUCGCCUUCUUCAUGUCUGCGUCGGCCAUCUGGAUGAACUGUUGGUGCUUGGAGAGCAGGAUGUCGAGCGCCUUUGUUUCCUUGCUGCAUAUUUGCACAGCUUCCUGGUGCUGAAGGGUCUUCUGUUUCAGCUUGUCCAUGUCCUCCAGGUCCAGAGCAGCCUUCUGUCCACACACAGAGGAGACAGGAGACCAGCCUCAGAGACUCAAAUCAGGACACCUGUAUAUCUGACUUCAAAAGGAGAGAGGGAUCUGGCUCUGUGAGAUACCCUGUCUUCAUGAGCGCUCUCGUACGAUGCGAUGCUUUCACGGUACAGUCGGUGGAUUUCACUCAUCACUGUUUUGUGUUGCUGCUCCACCGUGAACGUUGCGUCCUCCAGAUCAGCUCGCUGCUGCUCAGAGUGCAACAAUAUCUGCUUCCUGAAAAACAGACCCCGUUCACGCCAGAGAGAAUAAUGCAGCAAAGCAGGACCCCCGAUGAAUUUGGUGACACCGUGACUUUUCCAAAUGGUCCACCCUUUGUAAGAUGUUCACUGUCAAUUACAUCAGAUCUGCGAGGUGGCUAGACUACUGGUCUUACUGUUGCAGUGCACUGUCUAACAUUGUUAAAGUAGCCAGAAAAAUAAUUUGCACACAAUAGCUUUCUUUGGUAGACAUCUACUGUAUAAUAGACAAGUUUUGCUCAAAGUAUUAUAGCCAGCGCUCACCACCCACUUUUGGAGGAGUUUGUUCUUCUCCCCUCUGGGUGAAGAUGCAGAUUCCCCAGGUUAAAAACCAACACAUAUACAAAUUUUCCUUUUCUGCUGCUCAGAAGCACCCUACAGUGUGUUGAUGCUACCAUUUCGACUGAGUACUUUCAGACGAACAAAUGGAUGAUGUACACGGUAACAGUGUUCUUGUUUGUUCUGUCCCACGUCACAAGUAUGUUUGCUUGUGUUGCUGGUUUUUUU
Long non-coding RNA from Micropterus dolomieu (smallmouth bass), 3979 nucleotides. RefSeq lists it as uncharacterized. The record is from RefSeq and is a predicted model, not a curated record. NCBI's taxonomy places the organism in Eukaryota, Metazoa, Chordata, Actinopteri, Centrarchiformes, Centrarchidae. The transcript is spliced from 5 exons.